RNAcentral lists this long non-coding RNA (1667 nucleotides) under Monodelphis domestica (gray short-tailed opossum). RNAcentral describes it as "lncRNA (ENSMODG00000039994.1)". The record is from RNAcentral. Lineage: Eukaryota; Metazoa; Chordata; Mammalia; Didelphimorphia; Didelphidae.
GCCACAAUGUCGCCAGGCUCCACUACAAUGUAGCUAGCCCCAGCAGCUGACAAACGGCUUCCGGCUCCUCGCCGCCCCACUCCACUCAGGCCUUUUCGCUGUAAGAGUGAGAGCGCGCGCAACCCCGGAAUCACUGCUUGCCUCCUCUCUGCCCGGGGGAGGAGGUGGGAGAGGAGAGGCGGACCGGGGCUCGAGAGAACCCAGUCCCGAUCUCACUAACACCCCCGGGAGAACGGAGCCUCCCUAGUGGUUUCCUGCAUCUGUAGCAGCUGCUUCCUGAUCCAACUCUUCCGGGCAGCCUGGAGUUGGAUUGGGGGCGGGGCGGAGGUGUUCCUGAACUCUGUCUACCAGGAAGGAGCUCCCCGUAGCCCGGCCUGGGGAAGGGGUGAGAGUCCGAUGACCUGGGGGCGGAAUCCUCGAUUUCCGAGCUGUCCGGGAUGGUAGAAGCCAUGGACACCAGACUCAUUUUACAGAUAGGAAAACUGAAGUUCCGAGAAGCCUUUCAAGGUCACCCAAGUAGCAGUAGUAAAUGGUUGAACAGACAAGGAAGCAAACUGGGAGAGAAGGUCUUUGACGCGAAAUCCAGCAUUGUUUUCACUGGAACGUCUAACUUUCACUUAAAGUUUACAAAGCUACCAGAACAAACAAAGAUUAUACUGAGAGAUUGGUUGAGUACAGAGAAAAGCUUGACCGGAGGGAGGGUGUGGAGCAAAGCCUAGACUCGGACUCUGGGCUUUAGAGAAAUGUGAGGAGGGAGGGAUCCCUUGUAGCAGAUGGAGAGCAGGGAAGGCUUCCAGGAUAGCCUAUGUGUUGGACCUUGAAUCAAGGCUUUGUCUGACUGGGAGGGUGGGAAUUGUCUCCUAGCUUUGGGCUAGAUUGUAGAUUGCAAGAAGGAAAGAGAACAGAAUAGAGAGGGAAAAUGGCUCAAGUCGAGAGCUGAGUCCCUUCAAGUGGGAUCUUUAAAGUUUUUGUUCAUAAUUAGGGAAAAUUGACAAACCAAGAGAACAUAUCAAUAACAGAAAUGUUGUUUGAAGAAUGACAUGUGUAAAACUGGGAGAACAUUUUUAUAACCAAACUCUCUGACAAAGGUUUACUUUCCCAAAUGUAUAAGAAACUAAGUCAAAUCUACAAAAAAUCAAGCCAUUCCCGAAAGGACAAAUGGUCAAGCGACAUGCAUAUGCAUGGGCAGUUUUAAUUUCAUCCUGUGAAAGCUAUCAAUAUGAAAAAGUGUUUUAAAUUCCUCCUGAUUAGAGAAAUGCAAAUUAAAACAACUCUGAGGUACCACCUUAUACCUAGCAGACUGGCCAAGAGGGCAGCAAAGGAAAGUGAUAAAUGUUGAAAGGGUUGUGACAAAAUUGGGACACUUCACUGCUGGUGGAGUUGUGAAUUGAUCCAACCAUUCUGGAGGGCAAUUUGGAACUAUAUGCAAAGGGCUUUAAAAGACUGCCUGCCCUUUGAUCCAGCCAUACAACUGCUGGGUUUAUACCCCAAAGAGAUCAUAAGGAAAAAGUCUUGCAUGAAAAUAUUUAUAGUCACGCUCUUUGUGGUGGCAAAAAACUGGAAAAUGAGGGGAUGCCCUCCAAUUGGGGGACAGCUGAACAAAUUGUGGUAUCUGUUGGUGAUGGAUAUUAUUGUGCUGAAAGGAAUAAAGAAAUGGAGGAAUUCCA